AAUAGAUACCCAGGUAGUCCACGCCGUAAACGUUGGGCACUAGGUGUGGGGUCUAUUCAACGGACUCCGUGCCGUAGCUAACGCAUUAAGUGCCCCGCCUGGGGAGUACGGCCGCAAGGCUAAAACUCAAAGGAAUUGACGGGGGCCCGCACAAGCAGCGGAGCAUGUUGCUUAAUUCGAGGCAACGCGAAGAACCUUACCUGGGUUUGACAUGUAGAGAGAAGCCAUAGAGAUAUGGUGUCCUGGGUUCUACACAGGUGGUGCAUGGUUGUCGUCAGCUCGUGUCGUGAGAUGUUGGGUUAAGUCCCGCAACGAGCGCAACCCUUGUCCUAUGUUGCCAGCACGUCAUGGUGGGGACUCGUAGGAGACUGCCGGGGUCAACUCGGAGGAAGGUGGGGACGACGUCAAAUCAUCAUGCCCCUUAUAUCCAGGGCUGCAAACAUGCUACAAUGGCCGGUACAAAGGGCUGCGAAACCGCGAGGUGGAGCGAAUCCCAUAAAGCCGGUCUCAGUUCGGAUUGGAGU
This 524-nucleotide ribosomal RNA is filed under the name uncultured bacterium. RNAcentral describes it as "bacterial SSU rRNA". It matches the Rfam family "Bacterial small subunit ribosomal RNA", at positions 777 to 1304 of the family's 1533-position model. The record is from RNAcentral.